RNAcentral lists this ribosomal RNA (253 nucleotides) under uncultured bacterium. Its description in RNAcentral is "partial 16S ribosomal RNA". It matches the Rfam family "Bacterial small subunit ribosomal RNA", at positions 524 to 776 of the family's 1533-position model. The record is from RNAcentral.
UACGCAGGUGGCAAGCGGUGCCCGGAAUCACUGGGCGUAAAGGGUGCGUAGGCGGCUGGGAAAGUAGCAGGUUAAAUCCCAGGGCUCAACCCUGGAAAAGCCUGCGAUACUGACUGGCUUGAGGGCCGAAGAGGCUGGCGGAAUUCCCGGUGUAGGGGUGAAAUGCGUAGAUAUCGGGAGGAACACCGGUGGGGAAACCAGCCAGCUGGACGGUUCCUGACGCUGAGGCACGAAAGCGUGGGGAGCAAACCGG